GUAAACAAACUCGAGCUCGAAGACGCACACUGUACGAUGUCGCAUUUAGUCUAUUCUAAAGCAGUCCAGAAACAUACAUGGGCGAUUCAUUAGAAGUAAAACGGCAGUUAUAGAUCAGUCUGCAUCCGAUAUUCUCACAGCUACAUCCAUAAUUGGUAACCACAGUGAGAGGGAUGAGUUGUGCUAUCAUCAUAUGAAGAACCAUACCAGGAAGUGCAGAUUUCUUUCUCAUGGCCACAUGGAAGUUGACUGUUAAAAGUAGUUUCUGGAUACUAACUCAAAUACUUUGCAUUCUAUUCAAACCAAAUUUGGACAUAUGGAUACCUACAAAGACGGGAAGAUGCCUAUCAAUUUUGGGGUGAGGUCAAAGAUCAAGGUCACAGUGCAUGGAAAUUAGAAAAUGCUGAUGCGGGGGCAUAUGUUUUACACAUUCUGUAGUUAUAAAUGAAUUAGUAUUGUAUAUAUGCAUAUAUUAUUUAUGUUUUCUGAUUAUUUAUCAUAUAAUGUAAUAAAUAUAUAGAAUUUGUAAAUAUGAAUUGAAAAAUACACAUUUUAUAAAAAAUCGUAUAUUGUUAUUGUUUAGAAUGUAUGUUAGUGUAAGAAGGGGGGUGGGGACACAAAAUGGUUCAAAUCUUUGUUCCAAUGCACACUACCCCACACAUUUUUUUAAUUUAAAUUAAGCAAAAAUAUGAUUCAAAUCUACAUUAGUAAUUUCAGAAAAAGUUUGAUACAGAUAUUCUCCCUAGGUUGAAUUUUUUUAUGAAAUAGGUCUUCAAAUUUGUGUGAUAUUUUAUGCAAUUAUAUUAAUUAAUACUUGAUUUUUUGUAGAAUUGGUAAUGUAUUUUAUGUAAAAGUUAUUGAAAUUAUCAAUUAUGCUUAAUUUUCAUAUAAUAAAAGAAAGCCAAGAUUA
Molecule: long non-coding RNA, 910 nt
Organism: Ostrea edulis (European flat oyster)
Lineage: Eukaryota; Metazoa; Mollusca; Bivalvia; Ostreida; Ostreidae
Exons: 2
Source: RefSeq, a predicted model, not a curated record